GGGUCACGUGGCUCCAGCCACACCCACCUCCCUGCUGUUCCUCACCCAGGAUCACCAAGGUCUCUCCUACCCCGGGGCCUGUGCACCUGCUGUGCCUCUGCUUGGGGUGCUCUUCCCAGGGCUUGCCCACCUCCUCAGAGAGGCCUCCUGACCCCUGACACGGCCUUGCCCUUCACCUCUAUCGUCCUUUAGAACAGCCCCCACCUCCCGCACAUCAUGCAGUUGCAGGUUCAAUGGCUACUGCUUGUCCUCCAGACUCGAUAGGCCUCAUCACUCCUCAGAUGAUUCUCGAAGGAUAACACACAGGCCAGUGGGCAGCCCUAGGCCAGGGGGAUUACCAAGACAUGAAGACUUUCUUUCUGUCUCAGCAACCUUCAUGCUUGGUCAAGCAAAGGUGUUGCUUAAGUCAAACCCAGGGCAGGGGAGAGCAGUUGAAGCAAAGUGAGUCUUUGGAGGCCCUGUGGUUGUGGGGUCUGGUGUGGAGACAGUGAGAACGGAAAAGGUGGGAGAGGAGCAGUCAACCCGUGAAUGGCCCCAUUCAGACGCCUUUACCUGGAAGACGUGGCAGGUGAGCAGCAAGUGAGCGGGAGAGUGGGAGAGAGAAUGAGGAAGUGAGGGAGAGAAUGGAUGAGUGAGCACCUGCUUGGAUGAGCCGACACCCACCAGGGAUCAUGAGAACACCGAACAGCUGAGGCACGGUGGCGUCUCUCAGCAGCCUCCCCAGGCCUGUGCCCCUGGGUCCUGACAUGAGAGCUGAUGACCAUUUAUUAUCACUGGUGAUGUCAAGAGGUGGCUUGGAAUGGUUGUAACCGUCUGUUCAUUUUCAUCUCACCUCCACAUCCACCACAAAUACACAGUGACGUUGCUCUGCAAAAGCAGCAGCACACAGCCCCCCAGAAGCCCCUUCCAGGUAAUUGCCAAAAGUUUCUUCCAUAUGGAAAUUCUGUAGUUGUGUGACCUCAGGCUAGUUACACAACCUCUCUGAGCUUUGCCAUCGUCUUCUGUCCUAUGGUAAGAAUGAUACUGAGGUACUAGGGAGCUGUGAAGCAUAUGCUGUGAGACAACACAGCUGAGCAGCCCAGCCAGAGCCCCCUGGGGAAGCCGUCAGAGGUCAGCAGCUCCCGUCUCCUUCCCUCUUGACUCCUAAUAGUCUAGGACAGAACUUUGCCCUCCCUUCUUCCUGUCCCAAAGAUGCACAAUGAUAAUGAUGCUGAUGGUUAUUUAGUAAGAAACUUCCCAACAGGAACAGUCAUCAGGAGGGGGCACAGUUGGAUUCUCUCCAGUGAAGAUGUCAGGAUGGACAGAAAUGUCAGCGUAAUCCAAAGAGGACACAAACACCCCUGCUAUUUUCUUGUCACCAGGAAAAGGCCAGCUCUAGGUUUGAUGAAUGUUUAGUGAAAGAAAGUUUGCAAAAGUAGAAAAGAAA
Molecule: long non-coding RNA, 1426 nt
Organism: Homo sapiens (human)
Lineage: Eukaryota; Metazoa; Chordata; Mammalia; Primates; Hominidae
Product: long intergenic non-protein coding RNA 494
Source: Ensembl